RNAcentral lists this ribosomal RNA (497 nucleotides) under uncultured bacterium. RNAcentral describes it as "partial 16S ribosomal RNA". It matches the Rfam family "Bacterial small subunit ribosomal RNA", at positions 28 to 507 of the family's 1533-position model. The record is from RNAcentral.
GAUGAACGCUGGCGGCGUGCCUAAUACAUGCAAGUCGAGCGAACAGAUAAGGAGCUUGCUCCUUUGAAGUUAGCGGCGGACGGGUGAGUAACACGUGGGUAACCUACCUAUAAGACUGGGAUAACUUCGGGAAACCGGAGCUAAUACCGGAUAACAUUUAGAACCGCAUGGUUCUAAAGUGAAAGAUGGUUUUGCUAUCACUUAUAGAUGGACCCGCGCCGUAUUAGCUAGUUGGUAAGGUAACGGCUUACCAAGGCGACGAUACGUAGCCGACCUGAGAGGGUGAUCGGCCACACUGGAACUGAGACACGGUCCAGACUCCUACGGGAGGCAGCAGUAGGGAAUCUUCCGCAAUGGGCGAAAGCCUGACGGAGCAACGCCGCGUGAGUGAUGAAGGGUUUCGGCUCGUAAAACUCCGCUAUUAGGGAAGAACAAAUGUGUAAGUAACUGUGCACAUCUUGACGGUACCUAAUCAGAAAGCCACGGCUAACUACGUG